RNAcentral lists this long non-coding RNA (203 nucleotides) under Elaeis guineensis (African oil palm). Its description in RNAcentral is "long non-coding RNA (EGUI_LNC028471)". Lineage: Eukaryota; Viridiplantae; Streptophyta; Magnoliopsida; Arecales; Arecaceae. The record is from RNAcentral.
GCCUCCAUGCCCUGAGGUAAUCGUCUGCUACUCAUGGAUGGACAAAUAUAGAAGUUGAGUCAAACCUCUCGAUCCCAUCUCCAUCAUAUCCUCUGAUCUGAGACCUGCUCGGGAUAGCCUCCUGACGACAUCGCAUAUCAUCCUCCCAAGUCUCUCAUCCCGUGUUCGAUCCAUCUUCACUUGGAGCUCUAUCUUGCACUGGG